This 223-nucleotide ribosomal RNA is filed under the name Myrmecia israelensis. RNAcentral's name for it is "Myrmecia israeliensis partial 18S ribosomal RNA". It matches the Rfam family "Eukaryotic small subunit ribosomal RNA", at positions 1611 to 1831 of the family's 1831-position model. Lineage: Eukaryota; Viridiplantae; Chlorophyta; Trebouxiophyceae; Trebouxiales; Trebouxiaceae. The record is from RNAcentral.
UGCCUAGUAAGCGCGAGUCAUCAGCUCGCGUUGAUUACGUCCCUGCCCUUUGUACACACCGCCCGUCGCUCCUACCGAUUGGGUGUGCUGGUGAAGUGUUCGGAUUGGCGGCAGUGGGCGGUUCGCCGCUUGCUGCAGCCGAGAAGUUCUCUAAACCCUCCCACCUAGAGGAAGGAGAAGUCGUAACAAGGUUUCCGUAGGUGAACCUGCGGAAGGAUCAUUG